GACGAACGCUGGCGGCGUGCCUAACACAUGCAAGUCGAGCGGAAAGGCCCUUCGGGGUACUCGAGCGGCGAACGGGUGAGUAACACGUGAGCAAUCCGCCCCUAGCUUUGGGAUAGCUCCGGGAAACCGGGAUUAAUACCGGAUAUGACCACGGCUGACAUCAGCCACGGUGGAAAGUUUUUCGGCUAGGGAUGAGCUUG
Molecule: ribosomal RNA, 200 nt
Filed under: uncultured bacterium
Lineage: Bacteria
Description: partial 16S ribosomal RNA
Rfam family: Bacterial small subunit ribosomal RNA
Source: RNAcentral